ACGAACGCUGGCGGCGUGCCUAAUACAUGCAAGUAGAACGCUGAAGGCGGAGCUUGCUUCUCUGGAUGAGUUGCGAACGGGUGAGUAACGCGUAGGUAACCUGCCUGGUAGCGGGGGAUAACUAUUGGAAACGAUAGCUAAUACCGCAUAAGAGUAGAUGUUGCAUGACAUUUGCUUAAAAGGUGCAAUUGCAUCACUACCAGAUGGACCUGCGUUGUAUUAGCUAGUUGGUGGGGUAACGGCUCACCAAGGCGACGAUACAUAGCCGACCUGAGAGGGUGGUCGGCCACACUGGGACUGAGACACGGCCCAGACUCCUACGGGAGGCAGCAGUAGGGAAUCUUCGGCAAUGGACGGAAGUCUGACCGAGCAACGCCGCGUGAGUGAAGAAGGUUUUCGGAUCGUAAAGCUCUGUUGUAAGAGAAGAACGAGUGUGAGAGUGGAAAGUUCACACUGUGACGGUAUCUUACCAGAAAGAGACGGCUAACUACGUG
Molecule: ribosomal RNA, 494 nt
Filed under: uncultured bacterium
Lineage: Bacteria
Description: partial 16S ribosomal RNA
Rfam family: Bacterial small subunit ribosomal RNA
Source: RNAcentral